AGGAGCUCAGUAUUGGGGUUAUCUUGAAACUUCAAUGGUCUUUCAUUCUCACGUAGAGAGGAUUGAUCCAUAUCGUGAGGAGUAGCAGGAGGUCUUAGUAUUGAAGGCUUCCAGUAUGCUCCAAGGCGUGGAAUAGACUAACCUUGUAAGUGUGGUAGGGUGAAACCCAUUGACAAUGACUUUGUAAAGCAGUAAAAGCCAUCAUAAGUGCACAACCCGCC
RNAcentral lists this long non-coding RNA (221 nucleotides) under Vigna radiata. RNAcentral describes it as "long non-coding RNA (VRAD_LNC002523)". The record is from RNAcentral. Lineage: Eukaryota; Viridiplantae; Streptophyta; Magnoliopsida; Fabales; Fabaceae.